RNAcentral lists this ribosomal RNA (468 nucleotides) under uncultured bacterium. RNAcentral's name for it is "partial 16S ribosomal RNA". It matches the Rfam family "Bacterial small subunit ribosomal RNA", at positions 28 to 507 of the family's 1533-position model. The record is from RNAcentral.
GACGAACGCUGGCGGCGUGCUUAACACAUGCAAGUCGAACGGAAAGGCCCUGCUUUUGUGGGGUGCUCGAGUGGCGAACGGGUGAGUAACACGUGAGUAACCUGCCCUUGACUUUGGGAUAACUUCAGGAAACUGGGGCUAAUACCGCAUAGGAGCUCCUGCUGCAUGGUGGGGGUUGGAAAGUUUCGGCGGUUGGGGAUGGACUCGCGGCUUAUCAGCUUGUUGGUGGGGUAGUGGCUUACCAAGGCUUUGACGGGUAGCCGGCCUGAGAGGGUGAACGGCCACAUGGGGACUGAGAGACGCCCCAGACUCCUACGGGAGGCAGCAGGGGGGAAUAUUGCACAAUGGGCGGAAGCCUGAUGCAGCAACGCCGCGUGCGGGAUGACGGCCUUCGGGUUGUAAACCGCUUUCGCCUGUGACGAAGCGUGAGUGACGGUAAUGGGUAAAGAAGCACCGGCUAACUACGUG